GGACAGUAGAUGGGUUAGGUUCUACAAUGUCUCCAUUUCAUUUUGCCAAAUCCUGGCUUUCCCCCUGAUUCUGUGGACUGCCAGGAGCAUGGGGUAGGAAAAGGACACAUCAAGUGUAUUUCUUUUCUCCCACCUGCUGCUCAAACCUGUUCCACUCACCGUUUGAAGUCUUCAGGCUGUAUGUAGAUGGGGUAGAACCUGUAGAUGCCAGUGGUGAGGUUUGUAAAGAAUCGGCUGUCUGUGUUGCCAAUAGAAGUAACUAGAGAGGGAAGAUCAACAGGAAAGGGGCUUUACAUGAGCAAUCAAACCAGCGAAGUGGCUGGGGUGUGGCCUGGCUGGAAAAUCAGGACUACUGGAUCACUACAGAGCAAUGCCUGGGCUCUCCUGAAAGCGUAUAGCUAUCCUUACAAAAAGCACCAUUUCAGCCAGGAACUUGGAAGUGUCCUCUCCCCAUGACGACCAGGGAGGCCAAUAUCUUCAUUUCAUACCCAAGGCCAUGGCCAUUUGCUAUUCCCCAUGACGCCCAGGGUGGCCAGUAUCUUCAUUUCAUACCCAAGGCCAUGGCCGUUUGCUGUUCCCCAUGACGCCCAGGGUGGCCAGUAUCUUCAUUUCAUACCCAAGGCCAUGGCUGUUUGCUGUUCCCC
RNAcentral lists this long non-coding RNA (644 nucleotides) under Homo sapiens (human). Its description in RNAcentral is "HSALNT0297681". Lineage: Eukaryota; Metazoa; Chordata; Mammalia; Primates; Hominidae. The record is from RNAcentral.